RNAcentral lists this small RNA (131 nucleotides) under Leclercia adecarboxylata. RNAcentral's name for it is "RtT sRNA". It matches the Rfam family "RtT RNA". From Rfam's summary of the family: This family represents a bacterial cis-regulatory element known as RtT RNA. Lineage: Bacteria; Pseudomonadati; Pseudomonadota; Gammaproteobacteria; Enterobacterales; Enterobacteriaceae. The record is from RNAcentral.
CAUCCUCCAAUGCAGGGAAGGAUGAGAAGCUUCGACUAAGGUUCGAUUCGAGCGUAGCGAGAAAGCGUUGCCGCAGGCAACGACCCGAAGGGUGAGGAGCAAAGCGACGAAUUAUCCUUCCCCCACUACCA